This 269-nucleotide ribosomal RNA is filed under the name uncultured Geobacillus sp. RNAcentral's name for it is "partial 16S ribosomal RNA". It matches the Rfam family "Bacterial small subunit ribosomal RNA", at positions 1113 to 1382 of the family's 1533-position model. The record is from RNAcentral. Lineage: Bacteria; Bacillati; Bacillota; Bacilli; Caryophanales; Anoxybacillaceae.
AGUUGCCAGCAUUCGGUUGGGCACUCUAGAGGGACUGCCGGCGACAAGUCGGAGGAAGGUGGGGAUGACGUCAAAUCAUCAUGCCCCUUAUGACCUGGGCUACACACGUGCUACAAUGGGCGGUACAAAGGGCUGCGAACCCGCGAGGGGGAGCGAAUCCCAAAAAGCCGCUCUCAGUUCGGAUUGCAGGCUGCAACUCGCCUGCAUGAAGCCGGAAUCGCUAGUAAUCGCGGAUCAGCAUGCCGCGGUGAAUACGGUUCCCGGGCCUU